This is a non-coding RNA of Vicugna pacos (alpaca), 506 nucleotides long. The record is from RefSeq and is a predicted model, not a curated record. NCBI's taxonomy places the organism in Eukaryota, Metazoa, Chordata, Mammalia, Artiodactyla, Camelidae.
AAUGUGAAGCAUCAUAAUUCUCCAUCUGCCAUCUAUAACUGAUCUUUUAAUAAAAAGUUUCAAAUCAGAGACCUGUCCCAAAGUGCCUGAACCAAAGGAAUCUUCCGGGGACUUGCAAGGGCUCCUGUUCACUUAUGAAACGCACCAAUGUUACCCCUUCUGUGAUGAACUCCCUGAAUCCUCCAGGCGCCUUUUUACACUGUGAAACAUGAAAGGGGGCCAACCAUGUCCUGGUUCUCUGAUCCUGACCAUUAAAGACAAUGCCCCAAACUAGUAUUCAUGGAAAAUGUGGCACCUCAAUGGUACCUUAAAUGAUAGUAAGAGUUUUGAAUUCAAUAAGACAAAGAGAAGGAGAGAGGAGUUAGAAGGCAAAAGUAUUUGAGUAUGCAGGUGAUGGGAGUGAUGGAUAGACAUCCAGACAAAAGAUAACAGCUUGAACAAAGACAGGGAAGCAAAAAUGCAAAAAAAAAAAAUUAUCUGGAAACUGAGCUCAGUUUGGGUUUGUA